Molecule: long non-coding RNA, 915 nt
Organism: Humulus lupulus (European hop)
Lineage: Eukaryota; Viridiplantae; Streptophyta; Magnoliopsida; Rosales; Cannabaceae
Exons: 4
Source: RefSeq, a predicted model, not a curated record
UUCAUUAAAAAAAAAGCAAAAUAUUACAUAUAAUAUUACAUUAAAAACAAAGGACACGACAUUUUGUAAGUCCAAAACAAAGAAAGAUUAUUAAGCGGCAAAUGAAAGUAAUUAGGCACCAAAUAAAAGUGAGAAAAUAAAAAAAAAUGAAAAAAAAAUUGAAUCCCUAAUCUCUCUCUAUGACAUCCGCUCUCUCUCUCUCUAUGUAUACUGAAAUCCGACCGAAGAACACCAUAAGCAGGCCUACUGAAGUCUUUAGUUUCUCACCACUCUCUUCUGUUGAGCCGUUGAAGCGCACACGACCACAACACUGCCGAAGCAAGAACCAGGAACUUCUGAGGCAGAUGGGCAGGAUGGAAGCCAAGUUAAGGCAAAUAUUCCAAUUGCUCCCCCCACUAAGCUCAGCAUAGUAGGAUUAACUCCUUCCACUUAGCGUAAAUCAUUCUCAAGCUCAUCACAGGCUAACAAAUUAUUUCCUUGAAUCCUUUGCCUUUGAAGAAACAUGGCUGUGGUAGAAGCCCAAUACAUGCUUGUUCAGAGGAGGAGUUUUUGAAGGAUGUGAUGCAGUUUCUAAUGCUUCGAGGACAUACCCGACUUAUCCCUCAAAGUGGGAUUACUGAGUUUCUGGAUGCCAUACUCAAUGGAAAGCGUGUUGACCUCUACAAUUUGUUCAAAGAGGUGGUUACCAGAGGUGGCUUUCAUGUUGGUAAUGGCAUUAACUGGAAAGGACAGAUAUUCUCUAAGAUGAGCAAUUACACCAUGACCAAUAGAAUGACUGUAUGUACAGAACUCUUUGAUGUAAUACCACUUUAGUUAUCUUAUGACAAUAAGGAUGACCAAAAUAAGUGUGAUUAUGGCCUUGGAAGAGGUGAUAUUUAGAUUAUAAAAUAUGCAUUAGAGAGAUUAUGGGAAACA